This 76-nucleotide transfer RNA is filed under the name Syntrophaceae bacterium PtaB.Bin095. RNAcentral describes it as "tRNA-Thr". It matches the Rfam family "tRNA". From Rfam's summary of the family: Transfer RNA (tRNA) molecules are approximately 80 nucleotides in length. The record is from RNAcentral. Lineage: Bacteria; Pseudomonadati; Thermodesulfobacteriota; Syntrophia; Syntrophales; Syntrophaceae. RNAcentral also lists the same sequence under 1 other name.
GCCGAUGUAGCUCAGCCGGUAGAGCAACUGAUUCGUAAUCAGUAGGUCCGCGGUUCAAAUCCGCGCAUCGGCUCCA